Molecule: unclassified non-coding RNA, 1476 nt
Filed under: Hevea brasiliensis (rubber tree)
Lineage: Eukaryota; Viridiplantae; Streptophyta; Magnoliopsida; Malpighiales; Euphorbiaceae
Source: RNAcentral
AGAAAAUACUUAUCCUAGGAAGAGCUUAAGUAUAUAAUAAUUAAUAAUCUCGGUGAGUUCUAACUAAUAUGUCGUGAAAACAGGGGCAGAGUGAAGACAAAGGAGAGGAAAUGCCAUGAAAUGAAACAAAGGACAUUUAAGACAAUUCAUAAAAAUCCCGCGUCAACCCCGGCGACUGGUCCAUAAAACGCUGCUUAAAUUGUUCAAUAACAGAGGCGAAGUGGUUGUGAAACCCUCAAGAACCUUCCUUUUAUGCUCCCUUGCUUUCUCCUUUUUAUUUCAAUCCUUGACACGCCCUCUUCAUUUCUCCUCUGCUAAAACCCUCUUCUCUCCUCUUUCCGCCUCACUAAACAUUCUCUCACUCAGCUAUUUCUCAGCUCUAUGGAAUCAGACCCACGGAAUCCCAACAACAAUGAAUACUCCAGCAGAGGCUAUGCUUUAAGCGGUAGGAUAAUGCUAAGCGCGAUUGUCAUCAUCUUCUUUGUGGUCAUUUUGAUGGUUUGCCUCCAUCUCUACGCCCGCUGGUACCUCUUCCAUGCUCGCCGCCGCCAAAUUCGCCGCGCCCGAACUCGCCGCACUAAUCUCGUCUUUUAUGUCGACCCCUCCAACCCCACUGCCACUCACGUCACCCAACCCUCCCGCGGCCUGGAUGGCGCAGUCCUAAAAUCGCUACCCGUAUUCUUUUAUUCAUCCAAGACCCACCCGGAUUCGAUAGAGUGUGCCGUUUGCCUAUCCGAAUUCGAAGAGAACGAAAAGGGUCGGACCCUACCCAAAUGCAACCAUAGCUUCCACAUCGAGUGCAUCGACAUGUGGUUCCAUUCUCACUCCACUUGCCCUCUUUGCCGCUCCCCUGUUGAACCCGUACCCGAAAAGCCUGCCCAGGUAGAUUCAUCGUCGGAGAUUAUUGAAAUCGGUUCCAGUUCCGGUUUGUGUUCCACUUGUCAGCACGAGGAAGAAAACGUGGGUGCAUCUACUUCAUCCUUUAUGGGUCGAAGAAAACCAGCGGAGCUGGUUGGCGUGACGAUAGAAGUACCCAGAAGAAAUGGGAAUUUCGAGAACGAGUCGGGAACCGAUUCACCAGCUUAUAGAUCGCCAAUGAGUCGUAUGUUGUCUUUUACGAGGAUACUGAGCAGAGAAAGAAGAGGAAAUCUGUCUCCUUGUGCAGGAAACCCAACGAGUUGGGGUGGGUCAGUGAGCGAGUCAGACCUGGAGAGAGGAAGAGAUGAGAUUCAGCAGACUCAGGAUAAAAUGGGUUGUAACUCGGUGGCAUGAGUCGAGUGGGACGUGGCAAUCAAGUUAUAAGGCGUUCAUUAAGAAACAUUCUAGCACAGUCAGACGUACGUAGGACUAGAGAGGACACGCCGUCGUGAGUUGCAGUGUUUGACUUUGACCUGUAUAUAAUUAAAUUCCCCAUUUAAUUGAUUUAAUUUUUUUUUCUUUUAUAGAGAUGGAUGUUUUAUGUUUAUUAGAAAAUGG